UACACUCCUACGGGAGGCAGCAGUGGGGAAUAUUGGACAAUGGGCGCAAGCCUGAUCCAGCCAUGCCGCGUGAGUGAUGAAGGCCCUAGGGUUGUAAAGCUCUUUCACCGGUGAAGAUAAUGACGGUAACCGGAGAAGAAGCCCCGGCUAACUUCGUGCCAGCAGCCGCGGUAAUACGAAGGGGGCUAGCGUUGUUCGGAUUUACUGGGCGUAAAGCGCACGUAGGCGGACUAUUAAGUCAGGGGUGAAAUCCCGGGGCUCAACCCCGGAACUGCCUUUGAUACUGGUAGUCUUGAGUUCGAGAGAGGUGAGUGGAAUUCCGAGUGUAGAGGUGAAAUUCGUAGAUAUUCGGAGGAACACCAGUGGCGAAGGCGGCUCACUGGCUCGAUACUGACGCUGAGGUGCGAAAGCGUGGGGAGCAAACAGGAUUAGAAACCCGGGUAGUCCCAUGA
This 452-nucleotide ribosomal RNA is filed under the name uncultured organism. RNAcentral's name for it is "partial 16S ribosomal RNA". It matches the Rfam family "Bacterial small subunit ribosomal RNA", at positions 332 to 800 of the family's 1533-position model. The record is from RNAcentral.